GAUCAAUACAUCCUCCAAUAACUUCAUCUUAAAUUAAUUUUUAACUACAACAUAUAAUUAUCACCUUUAGGCAGAAAAUCACAUGUCACAAUUAAAAACAUUCCUCAAACUACAAAGAAAAUCUCAUCGAUCGAUAUAAGCAGUCCCACUUUGGUGGUGACGGUUUAUACCAAUGCACAAAAUUUUCUUGCAUAGGAAUCAUUUGCUCUUUUCAAAAUAGGAACAGUAAAAAUAUGCACUAUAUAAAUGCAUCUAGACUGAUCAUUCAUUAUUUUAAUUCGCAUUCCCAACAUUUUUUUUAAUGCGAAAAUUAGUAUUUUAGGGGAGAGAUCAUUACUAUUAAACAGUCAGCUAUCAUUACUGUGAAACAAUCAACUCAAUAUAAUAAAUACAUAAUUUAUGCAGCGGAAUAACAUGAGACUUCAUUUGAAAUAUUAUUGAGGAUAUAUAUAAAGCAAAUAGUCCCGAACUUUUAUAAAUAACAUAGGACUCCUCAAUAUAAGUCUCUAUAAACAUUUAUAAAUAGUUGACAUGUAAAACUCUCCCACUUGAUAGAGAAUUAUAGUUGAAUUACCAAUCCAACAAUGUUAAAAUAUUUAAACAAAUAUUCAACUAUUUUCUCUAUCACAUAAUGAACAUAUCAAACAAUGUCACACUAAAUUUAUAUUUUUCCAGAAUAGAACUCUAAAAAUAUUAAACUUGAAAUACUCCCACUCAAUAGAGUAAAAUUUUAAAAAUUGGAGUAUAUAACAUGAAAUCAAUUAAUCAGAGUUUCUAAUUUUAGAAUAUUCUGAAAAAUAAUAUCACUUUUAAAUACAAUUGCAUAUUUAUAAUUUCAAAAGGAGUCGAUAAUAUCUUAAAAGAAUUUCACCACUAACCUCCAAAAGUAUGACUUUCAUCCUUGCAAAUAGAGUCGACGAGCAUCGAUAACUUUACGAUAAGAUCUUUGACAAUGUCAUCUCAAACAGUUGAUAAUCAACAAUAAACCGUUAUAUCAUAAUAAAACGACUCUAAUAAUAAACAAUACAAGGAUAAUUCA
RNAcentral lists this long non-coding RNA (1039 nucleotides) under Trifolium pratense (red clover). Its description in RNAcentral is "long non-coding RNA (TPRA_LNC006383)". The record is from RNAcentral. Lineage: Eukaryota; Viridiplantae; Streptophyta; Magnoliopsida; Fabales; Fabaceae.